This 433-nucleotide ribosomal RNA is filed under the name uncultured bacterium. Its description in RNAcentral is "partial 16S ribosomal RNA". It matches the Rfam family "Bacterial small subunit ribosomal RNA", at positions 29 to 507 of the family's 1533-position model. The record is from RNAcentral.
AACGAACGCUGGCGGCAUGCCUAACACAUGCAAGUCGAACGAGACCUUCGGGUCUAGUGGCGCACGGGUGCGUAACGCGUGGGAACCUGCCCUUAGGUUCGGAAUAACUCCCCGAAAGGGGUGCUAAUACCGGAUAAUGUCUUCGGACCAAAGAUUUAUCGCCUUUGGAUGGGCCCGCGUUGGAUUAGCUAGUUGGUAGGGUAAAAGCCUACCAAGGCGACGAUCCAUAGCUGGUCUGAGAGGAUGAUCAGCCACACUGGGACUGAGACACGGCCCAGUCUCCUACGGGAGGCAGCAGUGGGGAAUAUUGGACAAUGGGCGAAAGCCUGAUCCAGCAAUGCCGCGUGAGUGAUGAAGGCCUUAGGGUUGUAAAGCUCUUUUACCCGGGAUGAUAAUGACAGUACCGGGAGAAUAAGCGCCGGCUAACUCCGUG